GACCUGAUAGCACAACGGUUAGUGCAUCUGCUGGAUUUACUCGCUCAUAACCUCAAUAAGCAGAACAUCCCGGUUCGAAUCCGGGUCAGGCCA
Non-coding RNA from Mycena alexandri, 93 nucleotides. The record is from the annotation of a GenBank genome assembly. Lineage: Eukaryota; Fungi; Basidiomycota; Agaricomycetes; Agaricales; Mycenaceae.